This 367-nucleotide ribosomal RNA is filed under the name Salmonella enterica. RNAcentral's name for it is "bacterial SSU rRNA". It matches the Rfam family "Bacterial small subunit ribosomal RNA", at positions 108 to 478 of the family's 1533-position model. Lineage: Bacteria; Pseudomonadati; Pseudomonadota; Gammaproteobacteria; Enterobacterales; Enterobacteriaceae. The record is from RNAcentral.
GAGUAAUGUCUGGGAAACUGCCUGAUGGAGGGGGAUAACUACUGGAAACGGUGGCUAAUACCGCAUAACGUCGCAAGACCAAAGAGGGGGACCUUCGGGCCUCUUGCCAUCAGAUGUGCCCAGAUGGGAUUAGCUAGUUGGUGAGGUAACGGCUCACCAAGGCGACGAUCCCUAGCUGGUCUGAGAGGAUGACCAGCCACACUGGAACUGAGACACGGUCCAGACUCCUACGGGAGGCAGCAGUGGGGAAUAUUGCACAAUGGGCGCAAGCCUGAUGCAGCCAUGCCGCGUGUAUGAAGAAGGCCUUCGGGUUGUAAAGUACUUUCAGCGGGGAGGAAGGUGUUGUGGUUAAUAACCGCAGCAAUUG